This 1083-nucleotide long non-coding RNA is filed under the name Meleagris gallopavo (turkey). Its description in RNAcentral is "lncRNA (ENSMGAG00000020977.1)". Lineage: Eukaryota; Metazoa; Chordata; Aves; Galliformes; Phasianidae. The record is from RNAcentral.
AUGGGCCCCCCCCGAGCCCAGCGCCGCGCCGUCCCCGCAGCACCGCUGGGGAAACCGAGGCACAGAGAGGCCCAGCCUGGGCUCACGGCUCCGCCGCCUUGUCCUGCUCCGCCGGCCUCCCAGGGGGGGCCACGAGGCUCCUGCCGGUCCAAGGGACCAACCUGGAGCCCCACACCCCCCCAGGGGGUGGGAAGAACGGGGCGCCGUGCGCCCUUGGUCGCCCUGCCUGAGACCUGGCAAACUCGUGGCACGCGUCCCGGAGGAGGUUGGGGGGGCCGGCGGGUGGGCGGGCGCCGCGGGGGUGCUUACUGGGUGACGUCGGUGAGGUCGUCCCUCCCUCCGAAGUUGUCGUGGCUGAUUUGGUGUCAGGAGAGACGGCCAAGCGGGGCAUGCCGGGGGGAGGUGGCGGUGCCAGCAUCUGCGUGGGCAGGUAGUGGCUGGGCACUUUCACUUGACCACUUCCAUUUAACUGGGGACACAACACAGACACAGAACACAAAAAACAGCACAGAGGCAUUAGGGAGGGCGGCGCGGCCCUCGGUGGCACGAGUUUGCUGGGUCUCAGAGCUGACGGAACCGAUGAGACCCCACCUGGGGGUCGCAGGGUGGGGGGAUCACAGUGCCAGCCUCGAUCCGGCCCGACCCCGCAUGGGAGGGUCGGCUCUGCCCCCCGCAGUGGUGCCAGACCCUGGAGGGGCUGAGCAGGGGGUCCCCAGGACCCUCCGUGUUUGGUGCCGGAGCUGUGGUACGCAGGUCUUGCGGGCUGCUGCAGGGAUGGAGGUCACCACUGGUGUCAGUGCAAAGGGAGCGUGGUGCAGGGAGCUGGGUGCGUGGGGUGCAUCCGGUGCCUGGGGUGCGGGGAGCUGGGUGCAUGGAGUGCCUGAGCUGCUGGGUGCAUGGUGCACAGGGUGCACAGGGUGUGUGGGGUGCUGGGUGCAUGGCGUGCAUGGGGUGCUGUCUGCAUGGUGCACAGGGUGCACAGGGCGCAUGGGGUGUUGGGUGCAUGGUGCACGGGGUGCUGGGUGCAUGGGGUGCAUGGGGUGCAGGCUGCAUGGUGCACGGGGUGCUGGGUGCACAGCGUGA